CUACGGGCCGCACCAGUGGGGAAUAUUGGGCAAUGGGCGCAAGCCUGACCCAGCAACGCCGCGUGAGGGAAGAAGGUUUUCGGAUUGUAAACCUCUGUCCUUGGGGACGAAGAAGUGACGGUACCCAAGGAGGAAGCUCCGGCUAACUACGUGCCAGCAGCCGCGGUAAUACGUAGGGAGCAAGCGUUGUCCGGAAUUACUGGGCGUAAGGGGUGCGUAGGCGGCAUAUUAAGUCAGGUGUGAAAUACCCGGGCUCAACCCGGGGGCUGCAUUUGAAACUGAUAUGCUUGAGUGUGAGAGAGGAAAGUGGAAUUCCUAGUGUAGCGGUGGAAUGCGUAGAUAUUAGGAGGAACACCAGUGGCGAAGGCGACUUUCUGGCUCAUAACUGACGCUGAGGCACGAAAGCGUGGGGAGCAAACAGGAUUAGAUACCCCAGUAGUC
RNAcentral lists this ribosomal RNA (441 nucleotides) under uncultured bacterium. RNAcentral describes it as "partial 16S ribosomal RNA". It matches the Rfam family "Bacterial small subunit ribosomal RNA", at positions 339 to 795 of the family's 1533-position model. The record is from RNAcentral.